RNAcentral lists this ribosomal RNA (909 nucleotides) under uncultured Bacteroidota bacterium. RNAcentral's name for it is "bacterial SSU rRNA". It matches the Rfam family "Bacterial small subunit ribosomal RNA", at positions 8 to 917 of the family's 1533-position model. The record is from RNAcentral. Lineage: Bacteria; Pseudomonadati; Bacteroidota.
AGAGUUUGAUCCUGGCUCAGGAUGAACGCUAGCGGCAGGCCUAACACAUGCAAGUCGAGGGGUAACAGGGUAGCAAUAUCGCUGACGACCGGCGCACGGGUGAGUAACGCGUAUGCAACCUUCCUUUAACUGGGGAAUAGCCCGGAGAAAUUCGGAUUAAUACCCCAUAACAUCAUAGAGAGGCAUCUCUCAGUGAUUAAAGCUUCGGCGGUUAAAGAUGGGCAUGCGUGCCAUUAGCUAGUUGGUGAGGUAACGGCUCACCAAGGCUACGAUGGUUAGGGGGUCUGAGAGGAUGAUCCCCCACACUGGUACUGAGACACGGACCAGACUCCUACGGGAGGCAGCAGUGAGGAAUAUUGGGCAAUGGGCGAAAGCCUGACCCAGCCAUGCCGCGUGAAGGAUGAAUGCCCUAUGGGUUGUAAACUUCUUUUGUACGGGACAAAACUCUCGAACGUGUUCGGGAUUGAUGGUACUGUAUGAAUAAGCAUCGGCUAACUCCGUGCCAGCAGCCGCGGUAAUACGGAGGAUGCGAGCGUUAUCCGGAUUCAUUGGGUUUAAAGGGUGCGUAGGCGGAAUAAUAAGUCAGCGGUGAAAGCCUGCGGCUUAACCGUAGAAUUGCCAUUGAUACUGUUAUUCUUGAGUAUAGUUGAAGUAGGCGGAAUGUGUAAUGUAGCGGUGAAAUGCUUAGAUAUUACACAGAACACCAAUUGCGAAGGCAGCUUACUAAGCUGUUACUGACGCUGAGGUACGAAAGCGUGGGGAGCAAACAGGAUUAGAUACCCUGGUAGUCCACGCUGUAAACGAUGAUCACUCGUUGUUGGCGAUACACCGUCAGCGACUGAGCGAAAGCAAUAAGUGAUCCACCUGGGGAGUACGGCGGCAACGCUGAAACUUAAAGGAAUUGACCGG